UACAGAGGGGGCAAGCGUUGUUCGGAAUUACUGGGCGUAAAGCGCACGUAGGCGGAUCUUUAAGUCAGAGGUGAAAUCCCAAGGCUCAACCUUGGAACUGCCUUUGAUACUGGGGAUCUUGAGUCCGGGAGAGGUGAGUGGAACUGCGAGUGUAGAGGUGAAAUUCGUAGAUAUUCGCAAGAACACCAGUGGCGAAGGCGGCUCACUGGCCCGGUACUGACGCUGAGGUGCGAAAGCGUGGGGAGCAAACAGG
This 253-nucleotide ribosomal RNA is filed under the name uncultured bacterium. RNAcentral describes it as "partial 16S ribosomal RNA". It matches the Rfam family "Bacterial small subunit ribosomal RNA", at positions 524 to 776 of the family's 1533-position model. The record is from RNAcentral.